CCCCUAGAUGUUCUGGGCCGCACGCGCGCUACACUGAACAGUUCAACAAGUCUUAACCUUGGCCGAUAGGUCUGGGUAAUCUUUGAACGCUGUUCGUGAUUGGGAUAGACCUUUGCAAUUAUGGGUCUUCAACGAGGGAUUCCUAGUAAACGCAAGUCAUCAGCUUGCAUUGAUUACGUCCCUGCCCUUUGUACACACCGCCCGUCGCACCUACCGAUUGAAUGGUCCGGUGAGGCCUCGGGAUUGUGGCCGGUGCAUUCAUUUGUGUCGGUUGUGAGAACUUGUCCAAACCUUAUCAUCUAGAGGAAGGUGAAGUCGUANCA
This 323-nucleotide ribosomal RNA is filed under the name uncultured eukaryote. RNAcentral describes it as "partial 18S ribosomal RNA". It matches the Rfam family "Eukaryotic small subunit ribosomal RNA", at positions 1470 to 1796 of the family's 1831-position model. The record is from RNAcentral.